CAUUGAUGUCGGAUUUACUGAGGUUUAAAGGAUGCGUAGGCGGACACUUAAGCCAGUGGUGAAAUCCCAUAGCUCAACUAUGGAACUGCCAUUGGAACUGUGUGUCUUGAAUUCGGUUGAGGUAGAUGGAAUAUAACAUGUAGCGGUGAAAUGCUUAGAUAUGUUAUAGAACACCGAUUGCGAAGGCAGUCUACUAAGCCGACAUUGACGCUGAGGCAUGAAAGCGUGGGGAGCGAACAGGAUUAGAUACCCUGGUAGUCCACGCCCUAAACGUUGAUUACUCGCUGUUAGCGAUAUACUGUUAGCGGCUAAGCGAAAGCGUUAAGUGAUCCACCUGGGAAGUACGAUCGCAAGAUUGAAACUCAAAGGAAUUGACGGGGGCCCGCACAAGCGGAGGAGCAUGUGGUUUAAUUCGAUGAUACGCGAGGAACCUUACCUGGGCUUAAAUGUUAGAUGCCAUUCUGCGAAAGCGGAAGUUUCUUCGGAACAUCUAGCAAGGUGCUGCAUGGCUGUCGUCAGCUCGUGCCGUGAGGUGUUGGGUUAAGUCCCGCAACGAGCGCAACCCCUAUCAUUAGUUGCCAUCAGGUUAAGCUGGGGACUCUAAUGAAACUGCCUACGCAAGUAGAGAGGAAGGCGGGGACGACGUCAAGUCAUCAUGGCCCUUACGCCCAGGGCUACACACGUGCUACAAUGGUAGGUACAAUGAGAAGCUACUUGGUAACAAGACGCAAACCUCAAAAAGCCUAUCUCAGUUCGGAUUGAGGUCUGCAACUCGACCUCAUGAAGUUGGAUUCGCUAGUAAUCGUAUAUCGGCAAUGAUACGGUGAAUACGUUCCCGGGCCUUGUACACACCGCCCGUCAAGCCAUGGAAGCUGGGAGAACCUGAAGUCGAUAACCGAAAGGAGUCGCCUAGGGUUAUACUAAUAACUGGGGGCUAAGUCGUAACAAGGUAAAUCGAAUUCCCGCGGGCCGCCAUGGCGGGCCGGGGAGCAUGCGACGUCGGGCCCAAAUUCGCCCCUAUAGUGAGUCGUAUUAACAAUUCACCGUGGCGCGCGCGCUCGGUUUUUUUUCACCGG
This 1076-nucleotide ribosomal RNA is filed under the name uncultured bacterium. RNAcentral's name for it is "bacterial SSU rRNA". The stretch from base 1 to 965 matches the Rfam family "Bacterial small subunit ribosomal RNA", at positions 539 to 1533 of the family's 1533-position model. The record is from RNAcentral.